This 71-nucleotide transfer RNA is filed under the name Bacteroidota bacterium. RNAcentral's name for it is "Bacteroidetes bacterium (activated sludge metagenome) tRNA-Trp". It matches the Rfam family "tRNA". Rfam says of the family: Transfer RNA (tRNA) molecules are approximately 80 nucleotides in length. RNAcentral also lists the same sequence under 2 other names. The record is from RNAcentral. Lineage: Bacteria; Pseudomonadati; Bacteroidota.
AGGGGCAUAGUUCAGUGGUAGAAUAGCGGUCUCCAAAACCGUUGACGUCAGUUCGAAUCUGGCUGCCCCUG